UUUACCUUCUUGUAUAAGCACUGUGCUAAAAUUGCAGACACUAGGACUAUGUCUUGGUUUUUGCAAUAAUGCUAGCAGAGUACACACAAGAAGAAAAGUAACAGCA
MicroRNA precursor from Cercocebus atys (sooty mangabey), 106 nucleotides. The record is from Ensembl. Lineage: Eukaryota; Metazoa; Chordata; Mammalia; Primates; Cercopithecidae.